RNAcentral lists this ribosomal RNA (443 nucleotides) under uncultured bacterium. RNAcentral describes it as "bacterial SSU rRNA". It matches the Rfam family "Bacterial small subunit ribosomal RNA", at positions 958 to 1398 of the family's 1533-position model. The record is from RNAcentral.
AACGCGAAGAACCUUACCAGCCCUUGACAUCCCGGUCGCGGGAACCAGAGAUGGAUCCCUUCAGUUCGGCUGGACCGGAGACAGGUGCUGCAUGGCUGUCGUCAGCUCGUGUCGUGAGAUGUUGGGUUAAGUCCCGCAACGAGCGCAACCCUCGCCCUUAGUUGCCAUCAUUCAGUUGGGCACUCUAAGGGGACUGCCGGUGAUAAGCCGCGAGGAAGGUGGGGAUGACGUCAAGUCCUCAUGGCCCUUACGGGCUGGGCUACACACGUGCUACAAUGGCGGUGACAGUGGGACGCAAUGGAGCAAUCCUGCGCAAAUCUCAAAAAGCCGUCUCAGUUCGGAUUGUGCUCUGCAACUCGACCCCAUGAAGUCGGAGUCGCUAGUAAUCGCAGAUCAGCAACGCUGCGUGAAUACGUUCCCGGGCCUUGUACACACCGUAGUAC